This 253-nucleotide ribosomal RNA is filed under the name uncultured bacterium. RNAcentral describes it as "partial 16S ribosomal RNA". It matches the Rfam family "Bacterial small subunit ribosomal RNA", at positions 524 to 776 of the family's 1533-position model. The record is from RNAcentral.
UACGUAGGGCGCAAGCGUUGUCCGGAAUUAUUGGACGUAAAGAGCUCGUAGGCGGUUUGUCACGUCGGGUGUGAAAGCCCGGGGCUUAACCCCGGGUCUGCAUUCGAUACGGGCAGACUGGAGUGUGGUAGGGGAGAUCGGAAUUCCUGGUGUAGCGGUGAAAUGCGCAGAUAUCAGGAGGAAUACCGGAGGCGAAGGCGGAUAGCUGGGCCAACACUGACGCUGAGACCCGAAAGCGUGGGGAUCAAACAGG